RNAcentral lists this unclassified non-coding RNA (374 nucleotides) under uncultured bacterium. RNAcentral describes it as "contains 16S-23S intergenic spacer region". The record is from RNAcentral.
UCCGGUUUAUCACCGGCAGUCUCCAUAGAGUUCUCGGCUUGACCCGUUAGUAACUAUGAAUAAGGGUUGCGCUCGUUGCGGGACUUAACCCAACAUCUCACGACACGAGCUGACGACAGCCAUGCAGCACCUGUGCACGAUCUCCGAGGAGGGGCUCUCGUUUCUGAGAGCUUGCUCGUGCAUGUCAAGCCUAGGUAAGGUUCUUCGCGUUGCGUCGAAUUAAACCACAUGCUCCACCGCUUGUGCGGGCCCCCGUCAAUUCCUUUGAGUUUCAGGCUUGCGCCCGUACUCCCCAGGUGGGAUACUUAUCACUUUCGCUUAGCCACUCAGGUUGUUCUGAACAGCUAGUAUCCAUCGUUUACGGCGUGGACUAC